Molecule: ribosomal RNA, 835 nt
Filed under: Crassimassarina baoshanensis
Lineage: Eukaryota; Fungi; Ascomycota; Dothideomycetes; Pleosporales; Lophiotremataceae
Description: Crassimassarina sp. GCR-2022a partial large subunit ribosomal RNA
Rfam family: Eukaryotic large subunit ribosomal RNA
Source: RNAcentral
ACGGCGAGUGAAGCGGCAAGAGCUCAAAUUUGAAAUCUGGCCCCCUCAGGGUCCGAGUUGUAAUUUGUAGAGGGUGCUUUGGCGUCGGCCACGGCCUAAGUUCCUUGGAACAGGACGCCACAGAGGGUGAGAACCCCGUACGUGGCCGCUGGCCUUCGCCGUGUAAAGCCCCUUCGACGAGUCGAGUUGUUUGGGAAUGCAGCUCUAAAUGGGAGGUAAAUUUCUUCUAAAGCUAAAUACUGGCCAGAGACCGAUAGCGCACAAGUAGAGUGAUCGAAAGAUGAAAAGCACUUUGGAAAGAGAGUCAAAAAGCACGUGAAAUUGUUGAAAGGGAAGCGCUUGCAGCCAGACUUGCCUGUAGUUGCUCACCCGAGCCUCGGCUCGGUGCACUCUUCUGCGGGCAGGCCAGCAUCAGUCCGGGCGGUCGGAUAAAGGCCGCGGGAAUGUAGCUCCCCUCGGGGAGUGUUAUAGCCCGCGGUGGCAUGCGACCAGCCUGGACUGAGGUCCGCGCAUCUGCUAGGAUGCUGGCGUAAUGGCUGUAAGCGGCCCGUCUUGAAACACGGACCAAGGAGUCUAACAUCUAUGCGAGUGUUUGGGUGUCAAGCCCGGGCGCGCAAUGAAAGUGAACGGAGGUGGGAACCCCUCGGGGCGCACCAUCGACCGAUCCUGAUGUCUUCGGAUGGAUUUGAGUAAGAGCAUAGCUGUUGGGACCCGAAAGAUGGUGAACUAUGCCUGAAUAGGGUGAAGCCAGAGGAAACUCUGGUGGAGGCUCGCAGCGGUUCUGACGUGCAAAUCGAUCGUCAAAUUUGGGCAUAGGGGCGAAAGACUAAUCGAA